RNAcentral lists this transfer RNA (75 nucleotides) under Candidatus Nealsoniibacteriota bacterium. RNAcentral describes it as "Candidatus Nealsonbacteria bacterium tRNA-Pro". The record is from RNAcentral. Lineage: Bacteria; Candidatus Nealsoniibacteriota.
CGGGCUGUAGCGCAGUUUAGUUAGCGCGCUCGCAUGGGGCGCGAGAGGCCGCCGGGGCAGAGCCGGCCAGCCCGA